UCCCUUGAGGACUUAGUGACGCAGCUAACGCAAUAAGUAGACCGCCUGGGGAGUACGGCCGCAAGGUUAAAACUCAAAUGAAUUGACGGGGGCCCGCACAAGCGGUGGAGCAUGUGGUUUAAUUCGAUGCAACGCGAAGAACCUUACCUGGUCUUGACAUAUCUAGAAUCCUGCAGAGAUGCGGGAGUGCCUUCGGGAAUUAGAAUACAGGUGCUGCAUGGCUGUCGUCAGCUCGUGUCGUGAGAUGUUGGGUUAAGUCCCGCAACGAGCGCAACCCUUGUCCUUAGUUACCAGCGGUUUGGCCGGGAACUCUAAGGAUACUGCCAGUGACAAACUGGAGGAAGGCGGGGACGACGUCAAGUCAUCAUGGCCCUUACGACCAGGGCUACACACGUGCUACAAUGGUAGGUACAGAGGGCAGCUACACAGCGAUGUGAUGCGAAUCUCAAAAAGCCUAUCGUAGUCCAGAUUGGAGUCUGCAACUCGACUCCAUGAAGUANGAAUCGCUAGUAAUCGCGGAUCAGAAUGCCGCGGUGAAUACGUUCCCGGGCCUUGUACACACCGCCCGUCACACCAUGGGAGUUGAUUGCACCAGAAGUGGGUAGCCUAACCUUUUAGGA
RNAcentral lists this ribosomal RNA (620 nucleotides) under Psychrobacter sp. Its description in RNAcentral is "bacterial SSU rRNA". It matches the Rfam family "Bacterial small subunit ribosomal RNA", at positions 828 to 1447 of the family's 1533-position model. The record is from RNAcentral. Lineage: Bacteria; Pseudomonadati; Pseudomonadota; Gammaproteobacteria; Moraxellales; Moraxellaceae.